GGUUGCUGAGGCAGGGCUUUGGCUACUGGAGACUGUAGGUUCGAAUCCUAUCUAGGAACUUCAGUUUGCGCACCUGUAAAAGAAGCUGGCAUUAUUGGCUGGCACAGAAUGUGUCGGUGGAAGCCAGCCACCAUGUUGUGAGGACACUCAAGCAGCCCCUUGGGGAGACACCUGUACCACAGAACUGAGGCACCUCAGCCAAAAGCCAGCACUAACCCACCAGCCAUGUGAGUGAUCCAAAAUGGAAGUGGAGCCUCUGUCCCCACUCCAGCCUUCAGAUGACUGCAGCCUAAGAGACCAAAGCCAGAAUGAUGCAGCUAAGCUGCUCUGAGUUCCUGACUCCCCAAAACUGUGUGAGAUAAUUAAUGUUUACCAUUGUUUUAAGCUGCUAAAUUUUGGGGUAAUUUGUGGUGUU
Long non-coding RNA from Balaenoptera musculus (blue whale), 415 nucleotides. RefSeq lists it as uncharacterized. The record is from RefSeq and is a predicted model, not a curated record. The transcript has 2 exons. Lineage: Eukaryota; Metazoa; Chordata; Mammalia; Artiodactyla; Balaenopteridae.